Molecule: ribosomal RNA, 440 nt
Filed under: uncultured Gemella sp.
Lineage: Bacteria; Bacillati; Bacillota; Bacilli; Caryophanales; Gemellaceae
Description: bacterial SSU rRNA
Rfam family: Bacterial small subunit ribosomal RNA
Source: RNAcentral
AACGCGAAGAACCUUACCAAGUCUUGACAUACUGUGAAGACACAGGAGAUUGUGUUGUUCUGACCUUUGGUUAGACACAGAUACAGGUGGUGCAUGGUUGUCGUCAGCUCGUGUCGUGAGAUGUUGGGUUAAGUCCCGCAACGAGCGCAACCCUUAUAUCUAGUUGCCAGCAGUAAGAUGGGGACUCUAGAUAGACUGCCAGUGAUAAACUGGAGGAAGGUGGGGAUGACGUCAAAUCAUCAUGCCCCUUAUGACUUGGGCUACACACGUGCUACAAUGGAUAGGAACAAAGAGAAGCGAGCUCGCGAGAGUAAGCAAACCUCACAAAACUAUUCUCAGUUCGGAUUGUAGUCUGCAACUCAACUACAUGAAGCUGGAAUCGCUAGUAAUCGCGAAUCAGAAUGUCGCGGUGAAUACGUUCCCGGGUCUUGUACACACCG